RNAcentral lists this ribosomal RNA (559 nucleotides) under Debaryomyces hansenii. RNAcentral's name for it is "eukaryotic LSU rRNA". It matches the Rfam family "Eukaryotic large subunit ribosomal RNA", at positions 86 to 661 of the family's 3401-position model. Lineage: Eukaryota; Fungi; Ascomycota; Pichiomycetes; Serinales; Debaryomycetaceae. The record is from RNAcentral.
ACGGCGAGUGAAGCGGCAAAGCUCAAAUUUGAAAUCUGGCACCUUCGGUGUCCGAGUUGUAAUUUGAAGAAGGUAACUUUGGAGUUGGCUCUUGUCUAUGUUCCUUGGAACAGGACGUCACAGAGGGUGAGAAUCCCGUGCGAUGAGAUGCCCAAUUCUAUGUAAAGUGCUUUCGAAGAGUCGAGUUGUUUGGGAAUGCAGCUCUAAGUGGGUGGUAAAUUCCAUCUAAAGCUAAAUAUUGGCGAGAGACCGAUAGCGAACAAGUACAGUGAUGGAAAGAUGAAAAGAACUUUGAAAAGAGAGUGAAAAAGUACGUGAAAUUGUUGAAAGGGAAGGGCUUGAGAUCAGACUUGGUAUUUUGCGAUCCUUUCCUUCUUGGUUGGGUUCCUCGCAGCUUACUGGGCCAGCAUCGGUUUGGAUGGUAGGAUAAUGACUAAGGAAUGUGGCUCUACUUCGGUGGAGUGUUAUAGCCUUGGUUGAUACUGCCUGUCUAGACCGAGGACUGCGUCUUUUGACUAGGAUGUUGGCAUAAUGAUCUUAAGCCACCCGUCUUGAACCA